This 1409-nucleotide ribosomal RNA is filed under the name Rhodococcus erythropolis. RNAcentral's name for it is "bacterial SSU rRNA". It matches the Rfam family "Bacterial small subunit ribosomal RNA". The record is from RNAcentral. Lineage: Bacteria; Bacillati; Actinomycetota; Actinomycetes; Mycobacteriales; Nocardiaceae.
AGCGGUAAGGCCUUUCGGGUACACGAGCGGCGAACGGGUGAGUAACACGUGGGUGAUCUGCCCUGCACUUCGGGAUAAGUGCAGUCGCCUGGGAAACUGGGUCUAAUACCGGAUAUGACCUCCUGUUGCAUGACUUGGGGUGGAAAGAUUUAUCGGUGCAGGAUGGGCCCGCGGCCUAUCAUGUUGUUGGUGGGGUAAUGGCCUACCAAGGCGACGACGGGUAGCCGACCUGAGAGGGUGACCGGCCACACUGGGACUGAGACCCACGGCCCAGACUCCUACGGGAGGCAGCAGUGGGGAAUAUUGCACAAUGGGCGAAAGCCUGAUGCAGCGACGCCGCGUGAGGGAUGACGGCCUUCGGUAAACCUCUUUCAGCAGGGACGAAGCGCAAGUGACGGUACCUGCAGAAGAAGCACCGGCUUACUACGUGCCAGCAGCCGCGGUAAUACGUAGGGUGCAAGCGUUGUCCGGAAUUACUGGGCGUAAAGAGUUCGUAGGCGGUUUGUCGCGUCGUUCUGAAAACCAGCAGCUCAACUGCUGGCUUGCAGGCGAUACGGGCAGACUUGAGUACUGCAGGGGAGACUGGAAUUCCUGGUGUAGCGGUGAAAUGCGCAGAUAUCAGGAGGAACACCGGUGGCGAAGGCGGGUCUCUGGGCAGUAACUGACGCUGAGGAACGAAAGAUUGGGUAGCGAACAGGAUUAGAUACCCUGGUAGUCCACGCCGUAAACGGUGGGCGCUAGGUGUGGGUUCCUUCCACGGAAUCCGUGCCGUAGCUAACGCAUUAAGCGCCCCGCCUGGGGAGUACGGCCGCAAGGCUAAAACUCAAAGGAAUUGACGGGGGCCCGCACAAGCGGCGGAGCAUGUGGAUUAAUUCGAUGCAACGCGAAGAACCUUACCUGGGUUUGACAUAUACCGGAAAGCUGCAGAGAUGUGGCCCCCCUUGUGGUCGGUAUACAGGUGGUGCAUGGCUGUCGUCAGCUCGUGUCGUGAGAUGUUGGGUUAAGUCCCGCAACGAGGGCAACCCCUAUCUUAUGUUGCCAGCACGUUAUGGUGGGGACUCGUAAGAGACUGCCGGGGUCAACUCGGAGGAAGGUGGGGACGACGUCAAGUCAUCAUGCCCCUUAUGUCCAGGGCUUCACACAUGCUACAAUGGCCAGUACAGAGGGCUGCGAGACCGUGAGGUGGCGCGAAUCCCUUAAAGCUGGUCUCAGUUCGGAUCGGGGUCUGCAACUCGACCCCGUGAAGUCGGAGUCGCUAGUAAUCGCAGAUCAGGACGCUGCGGUGAAAAGUUCCCGGGCCUUGUACACACCGCCCGUCACGUCAUGAAAGUCGGUAACACCCGAAGCCGGUGGCUUAACCCCUUGUGGGAGGGAGCCGUCCAGGUGGGAUCGGCGAUUGGGACGAAGUC